AGUUUUUAAGUUAAUAACCAUCCUUUAAAAUACACUAUUGGACCCCACAAAAAAAAAUACAUCCUUGGAAGUGGUCUUAGUUUUAUCAUCUAAAAGAUAUGAAUUUGAUUUUGUAAAGGUUACAAUUAUUUUCCGAGAAAUGUUAUCAUAGACAAGUUGGAGGAAGAAGACGAAACGAAUCAGGUAAAUUGAAAUUAAGACAGCUAUUAAGGUAAAAUUAAAAAAUGGGUAGAUUAGAAGUAGUUGUCUUUUCAUAAAACCCAAUAGUACUUGAAAUUGUUAGUAUAAGAAAUAUUCCAAGCUAUAACAUUAUUAUUA
RNAcentral lists this small RNA (318 nucleotides) under Arabidopsis thaliana (thale cress). RNAcentral describes it as "ATSL059130". The record is from RNAcentral. Lineage: Eukaryota; Viridiplantae; Streptophyta; Magnoliopsida; Brassicales; Brassicaceae.